GACGAACGCUGGCGGCGUGCUUAACACAUGCAAGUCGAACGGAAAGGCCCUGCUUUUGUGGGGUGCUCGAGUGGCGAACGGGUGAGUAACACGUGAGUAACCUGCCCUUGACUUUGGGAUAACUUCAGGAAACUGGGGCUAAUACCGGAUAGGAGCUCCUGCUGCAUGGUGGGGGUUGGAAAGUUUCGGCGGUUGGGGAUGGACUCGCGGCUUAUCAGCUUGUUGGUGGGGUAGUGGCUUACCAAGGCUUUGACGGGUAGCCGGCCUGAGAGGGUGACCGGCCACAUUGGGAUUGAGAUACGGCCCAGACUCCUCCGGGAGGCAGCAGUGGGGAAUCUUGCACAAUGGGCGGAAGCCUGAUGCAGCAACGCCGCGUGCGGGAUGACGGCCUUCGGGUUGUAACCCGCUUUCGCCUGUGACGAAGCGUGAGUGACGGUAAUGGGUAAAGAAGCACCGGCUAACUCCGUG
Molecule: ribosomal RNA, 468 nt
Filed under: uncultured bacterium
Lineage: Bacteria
Description: partial 16S ribosomal RNA
Rfam family: Bacterial small subunit ribosomal RNA
Source: RNAcentral